UUCACCCUAGUUUCUUCCUGUCAAUGGAAA
Molecule: non-coding RNA, 30 nt
Filed under: Mus musculus (house mouse)
Lineage: Eukaryota; Metazoa; Chordata; Mammalia; Rodentia; Muridae
Source: RNAcentral